GUUUACACAAACACACACACAUAUUUAUUUAUCUGAAAUAAUCAUCAAAUAAAUAAAUAUGUGUGUGUGUGUUUGUGUAAAC
Molecule: microRNA precursor, 82 nt
Filed under: Podarcis lilfordi (Lilford's wall lizard)
Lineage: Eukaryota; Metazoa; Chordata; Lepidosauria; Squamata; Lacertidae
Source: RNAcentral